RNAcentral lists this ribosomal RNA (253 nucleotides) under uncultured bacterium. RNAcentral's name for it is "partial 16S ribosomal RNA". It matches the Rfam family "Bacterial small subunit ribosomal RNA", at positions 524 to 776 of the family's 1533-position model. The record is from RNAcentral.
UACGAAGGGGGCUAGCGUUGUUCGGAAUCACUGGGCGUAAAGGGCGCGUAGGCGGCUUUAUAAGUCGGGGGUGAAAUCCCAGGGCUCAACCCUGGAACUGCCUUUGAUACUGUCGAUCUGGAGUAUGGAAGAGGUGAGUGGAAUUCCGAGUGUAGAGGUGAAAUUCGUAGAUAUUCGGAGGAACACCAGUGGCGAAGGCGGCUCACUGGUCCAUUACUGACGCUGAGGUGCGAAAGCGUGGGGAGCAAACAGG